GACGAACGCUGGCGGCGUGCUUAACACAUGCAAGUCGAACGGAAAGGCCCUGCUUUUGUGGGGUGCUCGAGUGGCGAACGGGUGAGUAGCACGUGAGUAACCUGCCCUUGACUUUGGGAUAACUUCAGGAAACUGGGGCUAAUACCGGAUAGGAGCUCCUGCUGCAUGGUGGGGGUUGGAAAGUUUCGGCGGUUGGGGAUGGACUCGCGGCUUAUCAGCUUGUUGGUGGGGUAGUGGCUUACCAAGGCUUUGACGGGUAGCCGGCCUGAGAGGGUGACCGGCCACAUUGGGACUGAGAUGCGGCCCAGACUCCUACGGGAGGCAGAAGUGGGGAAUAUUGCACAAUGGGCGGAAGCCUGAUGCAGCAACGCCGCGUGCGGGAUGACGGCCUUCGGGUUGUAAACCGCUUUCGCCUGUGACGAAGCGUGAGUGACGGUAAUGGGUAAAGAAGCACCGGCUAACUACGUG
This 468-nucleotide ribosomal RNA is filed under the name uncultured bacterium. RNAcentral describes it as "partial 16S ribosomal RNA". It matches the Rfam family "Bacterial small subunit ribosomal RNA", at positions 28 to 507 of the family's 1533-position model. The record is from RNAcentral.